AUUGAACGCUGGCGGCAUGCCUUACACAUGCAAGUCGAACGGCAGCAUGAUCUAGCUUGCUAGAUUGAUGGCGAGUGGCGAACGGGUGAGUAAUACAUCGGAACGUGCCCUGUAGUGGGGGAUAACUAGUCGAAAGAUUAGCUAAUACCGCAUACGACCUGAGGGUGAAAGUGGGGGACCGCAAGGCCUCAUGCUAUAGGAGCGGCCGAUGUCUGAUUAGCUAGUUGGUGGGGUAAAGGCCCACCAAGGCGACGAUCAGUAGCUGGUCUGAGAGGACGAUCAGCCACACUGGGACUGAGACACGGCCCAGACUCCUACGGGAGGCAGCAGUGGGGAAUUUUGGACAAUGGGCGAAAGCCUGAUCCAGCAAUGCCGCGUGUGUGAAGAAGGCC
RNAcentral lists this ribosomal RNA (392 nucleotides) under uncultured bacterium. Its description in RNAcentral is "bacterial SSU rRNA". It matches the Rfam family "Bacterial small subunit ribosomal RNA", at positions 30 to 416 of the family's 1533-position model. The record is from RNAcentral.